Molecule: long non-coding RNA, 1172 nt
Filed under: Lepisosteus oculatus (spotted gar)
Lineage: Eukaryota; Metazoa; Chordata; Actinopteri; Semionotiformes; Lepisosteidae
Description: lncRNA (ENSLOCG00000021046.1)
Source: RNAcentral
AUUGAAAAAAAGCAUUAAAAACAAAGUCUACAGCUGCUAACAUGGUUUUGUAUAACACAGUUCUAUCAACCUUCUCAUCUCAUUCCUGGUUUUUGUUCUAGCAGCUUGGAGGACGUUUUCUGAGAAUCCCUGUCAGAGAUGCCCUGGUUGUAUAGCAAGGAGUGCCUGCUGUCAACACCUCCUGCGAUCAGCUUCCUGUUUUGGUUUGAUGUUCAGUAUUGGAUUCAUAGAUGGAUUCUAUUUUGUUAUUACUACACAAACAGAUCCAAUAAAAUACAUAACUGGACUGGCUGUAAGUGCUGUAGCUCUGUUUGUGCUUGUGCCCUUUAAGGAGCGGUGUGGUCUCUCGGGAGCACGUGCAUGUAAGUGGAGUUGUGUCUGUUGUUCACCUGCUGGGGAGGAGAUAGAGUUCCUCCCAGACAAGUCAUUGCAGAGCUGCAGUCCUCUGGCACAGGGCUGCUCAGAGAGGGAGAGGGGGGAAGGCAUGACACCAUUCUGCAUGGGCACUGCUAGAGACAGAGCAGAACAAGCAGGAGCAGAGCUGCUCAGUGUGAAUUGUCACUGUGCAGUAAUUUGCCAUUGAAGCCAGGAUUGUAGCUCCUGGCAGAGCUCUUUCUGUAUCAUUUAAGAGUCAUUAUUCAGAGUCUUAACUGAAGUGCUCUGACUGACAAUUACAUCCAUAAUGUAAUCUUAGUCAAUUAGACCGAUAUCUACUGUAAAACAACUGUAGUACAAUAGACCUUUAAUGUUUAUAAAAGUCUGAUUCAUUGAUGUAGAGUUUUAUAUGAGCUGAUGAAGAUCAUUAUAACUGUGACACUAUUGUAUUGAACUGUGUGUAAGUGGAUCAUGAGCUCUGGCUGAAACAUGAAUCCCAAGCUCCAUGUAGAACGUUUGAACUAGACUGAGAUCAUUCAUGAGAAGGGCUUUGUUUGUCUCUGUGUUGUGGAGUAGUGGUGUGUGAAACAUGAAUGAAAAGUCCUAAUAGAUUUUUCCUCUUUCAGCUUUGUGUCACAGACUUGUUCUUGUGGCUUUGCUGACAGUUUUAAUCACAUUCAUGUUGUUUUGGCUGAACGAGGCUCCAGAGAGUGACAGAGGUGUGUAAGAGUGUCUGGUCUCUUGGGGCUCUGGGGGCUCUGUGGUGGCUCAGCUGUGUGGACUGAGCCCUGGGCUCU